GUCCUGAAGGAACGUUGAAGACGACGACGUUGAUAGGCCGGGUGUGUAAGCGCAGCGAUGCGUUGAGCUAACCGGUACUAAUGAACCGUGAGGCUUAACCUUACAACGCCGAAG
This 114-nucleotide ribosomal RNA is filed under the name Citrobacter koseri. Its description in RNAcentral is "partial 23S ribosomal RNA". The stretch from base 1 to 102 matches the Rfam family "Bacterial large subunit ribosomal RNA", at positions 2824 to 2925 of the family's 2925-position model. Lineage: Bacteria; Pseudomonadati; Pseudomonadota; Gammaproteobacteria; Enterobacterales; Enterobacteriaceae. The record is from RNAcentral. RNAcentral also lists the same sequence under 9 other names.